GUCGAGCGAACGGACGAGAAGCUUGCUUCUCUGAUGUUAGCGGCGGACGGGUGAGUAACACGUGGAUAACCUACCUAUAAGACUGGGAUAACUUCGGGAAACCGGAGCUAAUACCGGAUAAUAUUUUGAACCGCAUGGUUCAAAAGUGAAAGACGGUCUUGCUGUCACUUAUAGAUGGAUCCGCGCUGCAUUAGCUAGUUGGUAAGGUAACGGCUUACCAAGGCAACGAUGCAUAGCCGACCUGAGAGGGUGAUCGGCCACACUGGAACUGAGACACGGUCCAGACUCCUACGGGAGGCAGCAGUAGGGAAUCUUCCGCAAUGGGCGAAAGCCUGACGGAGCAACGCCGCGUGAGUGAUGAAGGUCUUCGGAUCGUAAAACUCUGUUAUUAGGGAAGAACAUAUGUGUAAGUAACUGUGCACAUCUUGACGGUACCUAAUCAGAAAGCCACGGCUAACUACGUGCCAGCAGCCGCGGUAAUACGUAGGUGGCAAGCGUUAUCCGGAAUUAUUGGGCGUAAAGCGCGCGUAGGCGGUUUUUUAAGUCUGAUGUGAAAGCCCACGGCUCAACCGUGGAGGGUCAUUGGAAACUGGAAAACUUGAGUGCAGAAGAGGAAAGUGGAAUUCCAUGUGUAGCGGUGAAAUGCGCAGAGAUAUGGAGGAACACCAGUGGCGAACGCGACUUUCUGGUCUGUAACUGACGCUGAUGUGCGAAAGCGUGGGGAUCAAACGGGAUUAGAUACCCUGG
This 747-nucleotide ribosomal RNA is filed under the name Staphylococcus aureus. RNAcentral's name for it is "bacterial SSU rRNA". It matches the Rfam family "Bacterial small subunit ribosomal RNA", at positions 61 to 790 of the family's 1533-position model. The record is from RNAcentral. Lineage: Bacteria; Bacillati; Bacillota; Bacilli; Caryophanales; Staphylococcaceae.